GCCCUUCUGGUUGAUCCUGCCAGUCAUAUGCUUGUCUUGAGGGUUAAGCCAUGCACGCCUAUGCUCACCCUACACAGAAGGGGAAGCCGCGAACUGCUCAGUAUAUCGGCGAUGAUACACGGGGUGGGCGAUGUUUGUCCGGACACCUGUAGGAAUCCCAGAGCUAAUACGUGCACACGAGUCCUCCUCCUAACAGGGUCUUCCCCGCGGGGAGAGGGCGCAUUUAUUAGGAUCUUGACCGGCGGCGGGUGGUAAACGCUGCCCGCCAGGCUGAGGCGAACUCUGGGUAUGUGACGACCGCUGUUAGCGGCGUGCCCGUUUGCUCGCCGUCCCAUCAAAUUUAGACGGCCCGGGCAAGAGCCCCCCGUGUUGGCUACGGGUGACGGAGGAUCAGGGUUCGAUCCCGGAGAGGGAGCCUGCGAGACGGCUACCACGCUUAAGGGUGGCAGCAGGCGCGCAACUUACCCACUCCCAGCACGGUGAGGUAGUGAAGAUAAAUGUCGGGGCUGGGCUCGCAUGCGAGCCUAGCGGUCGGAUUGAGCGUAGACCAAACACGUGCCGUUGAUGACCUAUCGGAGGGCAAGCCUGGUGCCAGCAGCCGCGGUAAUUCCAGCUCCGAUGGCGUAUGUUGUAGUUGCUGCGUUUAAAACGCUCGUAGUUGGAUCUCUGAGGUGACGGCAGCGACACACCGCGGGUGACGUUGUCCCGGCGAUUAUGCACCGUCGUGGUUUUGGGGAUGGAGCAAGCGGUGCCUCUGGUGCCGCAACCGGACCCUAUCGGCGGAUCUCGUCGGGCAUCGCUUGCCCGUCGCUGCCGGUUUAGUCUCUUUCCGUCUUAAGCCGUGUCGGCCCGGUACGUGGCGUAUCCGGACCGACACUAAGGUACGGGCGGUGUUCUCCCUGAAUCAAUUGGAGUGCUCAAAGCAGGUCGUGCUCGCACAGUUUUGCUCGGAACGAUGUGAUGACGCCACCGUCCCGCAAUGUUAACACGGGCCCGGUCUCCGUGGGGACGGUGGGCGAGGUCUAUAGAGACGGCCGGGGGGCGGCGUACUACCGCGGGAGGGGUGGAAUCCGACGAUCGCGGUGGGACGAACAAGAGCGAAGGCACCGGCCAAGAGCGCCUUCGUUGAUCAUGAACGAAAGUCGGAGGAACGAACGCGAUCAGGUACCGCGGUAGUUCCGACAGUAAACCAUGCCGACCGGUUACGCGGGGACGUCCCCAGUGGGGAAGCCUCGCGAGGCCCCGGAGAAACCAGAGUGCCUGGGCUCCGGGGGGAGUACGGUCGCAAGGCUGAAACUUAAAGGAAUUGACGGAAGGGCGCCACCAGGAGUGGGGUCUGCGGCUUAAUUUGACUCAACACGGGAAAACUCACCCGGUCCGGACACCGCCAGGAUUGACAGACCGAGGCUCUUUCUUGAUUCGGUGGGUGGUGGUGCAUGGCCGUUCUUAGUUGGUGGAGCGAUCUGUCUGGUUAAUUCCGAUAACGAACGAGACUCCGGCCUGCUAGUUAGCGCGGUGGCGUCCGGCGGCCGUCAACCUCCGGCAUCUUCGCGAUGUCGGUGGCCGGUCGCCCGCCACCGCGACCCCGAGGCUUCUUAGAGGGACGGGCGGUGGCCAGCCGCACGAGAAGGAGCGAUAACAGGUCUGUGAUGCCCUUAGACGUCCGGGGCCGCACGCGUGCUACACUGGGGGAGUCAGCGCGGACUACCUCCCGGCCCGAAGGGCGUCGGGAAAGCCGCUGAGUCUCCCCCGUGCUCGGGACCGGGGCUUGACCAUUGUGCCCCGCCAACGAGGAAUUCCCCGUAGGCGCGGGUCAUAACCCCGCGCCGAUUACGUCCCUGCCCUUUGUACACACCGCCCGUCGCUACCAUCGGUGAACGGUCUAGCGAGGGCCUCGGACCGGCGCGGAGUCCUCCCUUUACCGGGUGGGGCUCCUCGCCGGGAAGACGCCCGAACUCGGUCGCUCGGAGAUAGUAAAAGUCGUAACAAGGUUUCCGUAGGUGAACCUGCGGAAGGAUCAA
This 2021-nucleotide ribosomal RNA is filed under the name Samla bilas. RNAcentral's name for it is "SSU rRNA". It matches the Rfam family "Eukaryotic small subunit ribosomal RNA". The record is from RNAcentral. Lineage: Eukaryota; Metazoa; Mollusca; Gastropoda; Nudibranchia; Samlidae.